GACGAACGCUGGCGGCGUGCUUAACACAUGCAAGUCGAACGAGAGCGUCGAGAUAGCUUGCUUUUUCUGCAAUCUAGUGGCAAACGGGUGAGUAACGCGUAAACAACCUGCUUUACGGAAGGGGACAACAGUUGGACUCGGACGCUAAUACAGAAUACGUUACGAAAGUUGGUUGACUAACUGAAGUAGGGAAGGCAUCAGUUUAUAGCCUAUCGCCGGGGGAGGGGUGUGCGGCUGUUCAGAUAGUUGGAGGGGUAACGGCCCACCAAGGCGGCGAGCAGUAGCCGGGCGUAGAGGAGUAGCGGCCACGAUGGAGCGGAGGCACGGUCCGGACUCCUACGGGAGGCAGCAGUGGUGAGGCUUCCAGAAUGGGCGAAAGCCUGACGGAGCAACGACGCGUGAGGGAGGACGGCCGUGUGGUUGUAGAGCGCUGUUAUGCGGUACGAAUAAUCUUGCGAUGAAUACCCAUGAGAAGUGACGGUACCGUAAGAGAAAGCCACGGCUAACUACGUG
This 513-nucleotide ribosomal RNA is filed under the name uncultured bacterium. Its description in RNAcentral is "partial 16S ribosomal RNA". It matches the Rfam family "Bacterial small subunit ribosomal RNA", at positions 28 to 507 of the family's 1533-position model. The record is from RNAcentral.